RNAcentral lists this transfer RNA (60 nucleotides) under Haemaphysalis qinghaiensis. RNAcentral describes it as "tRNA-Gly". Lineage: Eukaryota; Metazoa; Arthropoda; Arachnida; Ixodida; Ixodidae. The record is from RNAcentral.
UUUAAUUAGUAUAAUUAGUACAUUUAAUUUCCAAUUAAAAAGUUUAAUAAAAAUUAAACA